AGCACCUAAAAGCGUUUUCUUGCCAGCCCAUUAAGUGCUCUUGAAAAUCGUUGAUGUGUGCAAGAGCAAUGCUCAGUUGCAAGUGUUUCUGUUUUUUGCAUAACUGAAUUCCAUAUAGCUGACUAUAUUU
Small nucleolar RNA from Drosophila eugracilis, 130 nucleotides. RefSeq annotates it as small nucleolar RNA psi28S-3316. NCBI's taxonomy places the organism in Eukaryota, Metazoa, Arthropoda, Insecta, Diptera, Drosophilidae. The transcript has a single exon. The record is from RefSeq and is a predicted model, not a curated record.